CGCGGUCCUCUCUGAACUCUCCGUUCCCUCUCUCAGUCUGUGUUGCACAGCGUGGGCGGGCCCCUCUCUCAGUGUUGACCGGCGUCUGGCGGGAGUUAUUCUGACUUCAGGCUCCUCCUCAACACCAGCGCAGGAUGGAGCCUUACUCACCACUCCGCGCAGCGUGAAAAUAAUGCACGCGCCGCCUGGCACACAGAAGGCCCUGGACGCAGGGCACCCAGGAGAGAGACUGACACCGAGCCCCAGUGGAGGUGACACGGGAGCUGAAUCAGGGUCUUAAGGCUAACGAGGUACCUUCGAGGGAGUUCAGGCCAUGAGGACCAGGGAGGUGGAGAAACAGCAGAAAGGGGAGGGACAAGGGGACCGUCCUAGCCUGGUGUCGUGGCUCCCCCGGGCCCACGUACCUUGCCCUCGUGGCAGCGCUCGGCCGCGCUCACCGACCUGGCCUUGAUGACCAGCAGCACGAAGAGAGGCUCCAGGAAGCCGGCGGCGGGUAAGGCCACGAGGUUGCUGCCCACGAGCUAAGGAGCUGUGCCCCCAACUGUCCUCGUUGGCCCCGCCCCUCACCCAGGCUACGCCCCAACGGCGCAGCCCACAACCCGAGUGUCCAUCCUCUCCCUCCGCUCCAGCCCCGGAGAAGGGAAGCUGAGUCCUGUACACUGGGAACAUCAGGACGGUGACCAGCAUGGCGCCCGAGAACAGGCAUAGCGACAGGACCUACAGCAUGAAGACACGGAAAUUGCGAAACCUGCUGGCCUGGGUGGGAGACUCAUGGGAAUGUGAAGAAGAGGCCACUAAGGACGAGCAGCAGCACGACACUGAAGGCAGCGAACAGGCUCAGGAGCAUCCAGGGAAGUGGGUCCUGAGGUCUGCCACCCCGCAAGAGAGCGGCAUGGCAGCACCUCCAGUGCCCAUAGGCGCCCUUGCCGAUACUGGCUCCAGGAGCCCUAUGUCGACAGCGACUGUUGAAGACAUAUUGAGCGCCCAAGCCACAGCCCAGGUUGGAAGGCAGAAGUCCCAGUGUGACAUCACCGAGGCUGAGGAGAAUGUGGGCUAGGGGCUCUGCAGCCUGUGACCAGCACUUCCAACGGCAACGCCCGCCACCCCCACUGGCUGGGGACUGAGAGGUCCUGCCCCUGCCAGUAUGUGAGUGAGCUGCCUUUCCCAGAAAGUCAAGGUCCAGACAUCAAGAUUCAGCCUCACAAAGCCAAAAGCAGGCUGAAGAUGAAAACUAACCAGAAAAGUCCAGUUGGUCAAGGAAAAAGAAAUUCAGUCUUCAAGGCCCAACACAGGCUGGCAGGAAGGCCCUAACCUGCAUGGCCACAGGCUCCCACCCACCUACAUAAAACCCCAGCACAUGCUCUCCUUCCCCUACCUAAAACCCUAGAGAAAAACCUACCUUUUUCCCUUCAAGGAGGUGGAUCUGAGUUCUAACUCCCAUCUCCUCCUCUUUCAAUACUAAAGGUCUUUUCUUGCCACAA
Molecule: long non-coding RNA, 1481 nt
Filed under: Equus asinus (donkey)
Lineage: Eukaryota; Metazoa; Chordata; Mammalia; Perissodactyla; Equidae
Description: lncRNA (ENSEASG00005037496.1)
Source: RNAcentral